RNAcentral lists this ribosomal RNA (253 nucleotides) under uncultured bacterium. Its description in RNAcentral is "partial 16S ribosomal RNA". It matches the Rfam family "Bacterial small subunit ribosomal RNA", at positions 524 to 776 of the family's 1533-position model. The record is from RNAcentral.
UACAGAGGGUGCAAGCGUUGUUCGGAAUUAUUGGGCGUAAAGCGCGUGUAGGCGGUUUCGCAAGUCGGGUGUGAAAGCCCUCAGCUCAACUGAGGAAGUGCGCCCGAAACUGCGGAGCUUGAGUACCGGAGAGGAUGGUGGAAUUCCCCAAGUAGAGGUGAAAUUCGUAGAUAUGGGGAGGAACACCGGUGGCGAAGGCGACCAUCUGGACGGAUACUGACGCUGAGACGCGAAAGCGUGGGUAGCAAACAGG